GAUGAACGCUGGCGGCGUGCCUAAUACAUGCAAGUCGAGCGAACGGACGAGAAGCUUGCUUUUCUGAUGUUAGCGGCGGACGGGUGAGUAACACGUGGAUAACCUACCUAUAAGACUGGGAUAACUUCGGGAAACCGGAGCUAAUACCGGAUAAUAUUUUGAACCGCAUGGUUCAAAAGUGAAAGACGGUCUUGCUGUCACUUAUAGAUGGAUCCGCGCUGCAUUAGCUAGUUGGUAAGGUAACGGCUUACCAAGGCAACGAUGCAUAGCCGACCUGAGAGGGUGAUCGGCCACACUGGAACUGAGACACGGUCCAGACUCCUACGGGAGGAAGCAGUAGGGAAUCUUCCGCAAUGGGCGAAAGCCUGACGGAGCAACGCCGCGUGAGUGAUGAGGGUCUUCGGAUCGUAAAACUCUGUUAUUAGGGAAGAACAUAUGUGUAAGUAACUGUGCACAUCUUGACGGUACCUAAUCAGAAAGCCACGGCUAACUACGUG
RNAcentral lists this ribosomal RNA (497 nucleotides) under uncultured bacterium. RNAcentral's name for it is "partial 16S ribosomal RNA". It matches the Rfam family "Bacterial small subunit ribosomal RNA", at positions 28 to 507 of the family's 1533-position model. The record is from RNAcentral.